AUUCCAUGAUCAGGACAUUCUUCCAUGUAAUUCUAUAAUCUUUCCCAUGCUUUAGUGAAUGAUUCAUCAUAUUGUUGUUGGAAACUUGAAAUCGUCCCACACAGAGC
This 107-nucleotide small nucleolar RNA is filed under the name Sorghum bicolor (sorghum). Its description in RNAcentral is "Plant small nucleolar RNA R71". It matches the Rfam family "Plant small nucleolar RNA R71". Rfam says of the family: R71 is a member of the C/D box family of snoRNAs containing the C (UGAUGA) and D (CUGA) box motifs. Multiple nearly identical copies of this snoRNA have been identified in Arabidopsis, and it is thought to function as a 2'-O-ribose methylation guide for 18S ribosomal RNA. Lineage: Eukaryota; Viridiplantae; Streptophyta; Magnoliopsida; Poales; Poaceae. The record is from Rfam by way of RNAcentral.